This 1550-nucleotide ribosomal RNA is filed under the name Enterobacter cloacae. Its description in RNAcentral is "bacterial SSU rRNA". It matches the Rfam family "Bacterial small subunit ribosomal RNA". Lineage: Bacteria; Pseudomonadati; Pseudomonadota; Gammaproteobacteria; Enterobacterales; Enterobacteriaceae. The record is from RNAcentral.
AAAUUGAAGAGUUUGAUCAUGGCUCAGAUUGAACGCUGGCGGCAGGCCUAACACAUGCAAGUCGAGCGGUAACACAGGGAGCUUGCUCCCGGGUGACGAGCGGCGGACGGGUGAGUAAUGUCUGGGAAACUGCCUGAUGGAGGGGGAUAACUACUGGAAACGGUAGCUAAUACCGCAUAACGUCGCAAGACCAAAGAGGGGGACCUUCGGGCCUCUUGCCAUCAGAUGUGCCCAGAUGGGAUUAGCUAGUAGGUGGGGUAACGGCUCACCUAGGCGACGAUCCCUAGCUGGUCUGAGAGGAUGACCAGCCACACUGGAACUGAGACACGGUCCAGACUCCUACGGGAGGCAGCAGUGGGGAAUAUUGCACAAUGGGCGCAAGCCUGAUGCAGCCAUGCCGCGUGUAUGAAGAAGGCCUUCGGGUUGUAAAGUACUUUCAGCGGGGAGGAAGGCGUUGAGGUUAAUAACCUCAGCGAUUGACGUUACCCGCAGAAGAAGCACCGGCUAACUCCGUGCCAGCAGCCGCGGUAAUACGGAGGGUGCAAGCGUUAAUCGGAAUUACUGGGCGUAAAGCGCACGCAGGCGGUCUGUCAAGUCGGAUGUGAAAUCCCCGGGCUCAACCUGGGAACUGCAUUCGAAACUGGCAGGCUAGAGUCUUGUAGAGGGGGGUAGAAUUCCAGGUGUAGCGGUGAAAUGCGUAGAGAUCUGGAGGAAUACCGGUGGCGAAGGCGGCCCCCUGGACAAAGACUGACGCUCAGGUGCGAAAGCGUGGGGAGCAAACAGGAUUAGAUACCCUGGUAGUCCACGCCGUAAACGAUGUCGACUUGGAGGUUGUGCCCUUGAGGCGUGGCUUCCGGAGCUAACGCGUUAAGUCGACCGCCUGGGGAGUACGGCCGCAAGGUUAAAACUCAAAUGAAUUGACGGGGGCCCGCACAAGCGGUGGAGCAUGUGGUUUAAUUCGAUGCAACGCGAAGAACCUUACCUACUCUUGACAUCCAGAGAACUUUCCAGAGAUGGAUUGGUGCCUUCGGGAACUCUGAGACAGGUGCUGCAUGGCUGUCGUCAGCUCGUGUUGUGAAAUGUUGGGUUAAGUCCCGCAACGAGCGCAACCCUUAUCCUUUGUUGCCAGCGGUCCGGCCGGGAACUCAAAGGAGACUGCCAGUGAUAAACUGGAGGAAGGUGGGGAUGACGUCAAGUCAUCAUGGCCCUUACGAGUAGGGCUACACACGUGCUACAAUGGCGCAUACAAAGAGAAGCGACCUCGCGAGAGCAAGCGGACCUCAUAAAGUGCGUCGUAGUCCGGAUUGGAGUCUGCAACUCGACUCCAUGAAGUCGGAAUCGCUAGUAAUCGUAGAUCAGAAUGCUACGGUGAAUACGUUCCCGGGCCUUGUACACACCGCCCGUCACACCAUGGGAGUGGGUUGCAAAAGAAGUAGGUAGCUUAACCUUCGGGAGGGCGCUUACCACUUUGUGAUUCAUGACUGGGGUGAAGUCGUAACAAGGUAACCGUAGGGGAACCUGCGGUUGGAUCACCUCCUUACCUUAAAGAA